CGAUAGUCUUCCCUGCUAUGUUGUGGAAAAAGAGUAAGUUUGAGAAAAUGGGUAAGGUAAAGGACAUACAGCAGUAGUGGAGGAUUGAAUUGUUAGUGAUUACAAAAAAAUAGGUAUAGGAGUGAAUUUUGACGAGCUUCUGUGCUCCGUAACAGUGGUUUUUUUCGAUCUUCCAAAGAAAGCCUGGACCUAAAGCUUUGGAGCUGAGAAACAUGAAAGUAAGGUGAGUCCCUAGAUGGAAUCUUGCAUGUGUAUUAUUCUUAUCUAGAAACUUCUAUGCUAGGUUAAUACAACCUCGGCCAUAUCAUGUCACGAGACAAUUCGACGGCAUUAGAAUUGACCUACGCUCGAGGGUCCCAAGUGCAAAAUGAGGCCUUAAUCUCAGAUUGUUAACUUGGUUGCUGGAAUUAUUGAGGAAUCAAGGACUUACGAUCCAAACAUGCCAUGCAUUCUACUUCCAACUCAUUUCUGGUUUUCUUUAGCUGG
Molecule: long non-coding RNA, 486 nt
Filed under: Gossypium barbadense (sea-island cotton)
Lineage: Eukaryota; Viridiplantae; Streptophyta; Magnoliopsida; Malvales; Malvaceae
Description: long non-coding RNA (GBAR_LNC017112)
Source: RNAcentral